GACGAACGCUGGCGGCGUGCCUAAUACAUGCAAGUAGAACGCUGAAGAGAGGAGCUUGCUCUUCUUGGAUGAGUUGCGAACGGGUGAGUAACGCGUAGGUAACCUGCCUUGUAGCGGGGGAUAACUAUUGGAAACGAUAGCUAAUACCGCAUAACAAUGGAUGACACAUGUCAUUUAUUUGAAAGGGGCAAUUGCUCCACUACAAGAUGGACCUGCGUUGUAUUAGCUAGUAGGUGAGGUAAUGGCUCACCUAGGCGACGAUACAUAGCCGACCUGAGAGGGUGGUCGGCCACACUGGGACUGAGACACGGCCCAGACUCCUACGGGAGGCAGCAGUAGGGAAUCUUCGGCAAUGGGGGCAACCCUGACCGAGCAACGCCGCGUGAGUGAAGAAGGUUUUCGGAUCGUAAAGCUCUGUUGUAAGUCAAGAACGGGUGUGAGAGUGGAAAGUUCACACUGUGACGGUAGCUUACCAGAAAGGGACGGCUAACUACGUGCCAGCAGCCGCGGUAAUACGUAGGUCCCGAGCGUUGUCCGGAUUUAUUGGGCGUAAAGCGAGCGCAGGCGGUUUGAUAAGUCUGAAGUUAAAGGCUGUGGCUCAACCAUAGUUCGCUUUGGAAACUGUCAAACUUGAGUGCAGAAGGGGAGAGUGGAAUUCCAUGUGUAGCGGUGAAAUGCGUAGAUAUAUGGAGGAACACCGGUGGCGAAAGCGGCUCUCUGGUCUGUAACUGACGCUGAGGCUCGAAAGCGUGGGGAGCGAACAGGAUUAGAUACCCUGGUAGUCCACGCCGUAAACGAUGAGUGCUAGGUGUUGGAUCCUUUCCGGGAUUCAGUGCCGCAGCUAACGCAUUAAGCACUCCGCCUGGGGAGUACGACCGCAAGGUUGAAACUCAAAGGAAUUGACGGGGGCCCGCACAAGCGGUGGAGCAUGUGGUUUAAUUCGAAGCAACGCGAAGAACCUUACCAGGUCUUGACAUCCCGAUGCUAUUUCUAGAGAUAGAAAGUUACUUCGGUACAUCGGUGACAGGUGGUGCAUGGUUGUCGUCAGCUCGUGUCGUGAGAUGUUGGGUUAAGUCCCGCAACGAGCGCAACCCCUAUUGUUAGUUGCCAUCAUUCAGUUGGGCACUCUAGCGAGACUGCCGGUAAUAAACCGGAGGAAGGUGGGGAUGACGUCAAAUCAUCAUGCCCCUUAUGACCUGGGCUACACACGUGCUACAAUGGUUGGUACAACGAGUUGCGAGUCGGUGACGGCGAGCUAAUCUCUUAAAGCCAAUCUCAGUUCGGAUUGUAGGCUGCAACUCGCCUACAUGAAGUCGGAAUCGCUAGUAAUCGCGGAUCAGCACGCCGCGGUGAAUACGUUCCCGGGCCU
Molecule: ribosomal RNA, 1369 nt
Filed under: uncultured bacterium
Lineage: Bacteria
Description: bacterial SSU rRNA
Rfam family: Bacterial small subunit ribosomal RNA
Source: RNAcentral